RNAcentral lists this ribosomal RNA (500 nucleotides) under uncultured Myrionecta. Its description in RNAcentral is "bacterial SSU rRNA". It matches the Rfam family "Eukaryotic small subunit ribosomal RNA", at positions 34 to 590 of the family's 1831-position model. The record is from RNAcentral. Lineage: Eukaryota; Ciliophora; Litostomatea; Cyclotrichida; Mesodiniidae.
AUGUUCCCAGAUAAGCCAUGGCACGUCUAAGUACAAACUAAAUUGGAUGGGUGAAACUGCAAAUGGCUCAUUACAACGGUUAUGAUGUACCCGGGGAAUUCCGAAUGGAUAUUUCCAGUAACACUAGAACUAAUACAUGGUCCCCGCGUUUAUUAGUUUCGCACAGUCCGUCGCUGAGUCAUGGUAAACAGUUGAUCGACUCGACGUCCCGGAACAGUUUCCGCCCCAUCAGCUUCGAUGGUUGGGUAUUGGCCUACCAUUUGCAACAACGGGUAACGAGGAAUUAGGGUUUGAUUUCGGAGAGGGAGCCUGAGAAACGGCUACCACAUCUACGGAUGGCAGCAGGCGCGCAAAUUACCCAAUGCAGACACUGUGAGGUAGUGACGAGAAAUAAUAAAGCGGGACUUCUGUUUCGCUAUUAUAAUGAGGAAUAACCAAAGGUCAUUCCGAUUAGCAACUGAUGGGAAAGUCUGGUGCCAGCAGCCGCGGUAAUACCAGCG